This 2932-nucleotide ribosomal RNA is filed under the name Escherichia coli O157:H7 str. TW14313. RNAcentral's name for it is "bacterial LSU rRNA". It matches the Rfam family "Bacterial large subunit ribosomal RNA". Lineage: Bacteria; Pseudomonadati; Pseudomonadota; Gammaproteobacteria; Enterobacterales; Enterobacteriaceae. The record is from RNAcentral.
GGGUUGUGAGGUUAAGCGACUAAGCGUACACGGUGGAUGCCCUGGCAGUCAGAGGCGAUGAAGGACGUGCUAAUCUGCGAUAAGCGUCGGUAAGGUGAUAUGAACCGUUAUAACCGGCGAUUUCCGAAUGGGGAAACCCAGUGUGUUUCGACACACUAUCAUUAACUGAAUCCAUAGGUUAAUGAGGCGAACCGGGGGAACUGAAACAUCUAAGUACCCCGAGGAAAAGAAAUCAACCGAGAUUCCCCCAGUAGCGGCGAGCGAACGGGGAGGAGCCCAGAGCCUGAAUCAGUGUGUGUGUUAGUGGAAGCGUCUGGAAAGGCGCGCGAUACAGGGUGACAGCCCCGUACACAAAAAUGCACAUGCUGUGAGCUCGAUGAGUAGGGCGGGACACGUGGUAUCCUGUCUGAAUAUGGGGGGACCAUCCUCCAAGGCUAAAUACUCCUGACUGACCGAUAGUGAACCAGUACCGUGAGGGAAAGGCGAAAAGAACCCCGGCGAGGGGAGUGAAAAAGAACCUGAAACCGUGUACGUACAAGCAGUGGGAGCACAGAGCAAUCUGUGUGACUGCGUACCUUUUGUAUAAUGGGUCAGCGACUUAUAUUCUGUAGCAAGGUUAACCGAAUAGGGGAGCCGAAGGGAAACCGAGUCUUAACUGGGCGUUAAGUUGCAGGGUAUAGACCCGAAACCCGGUGAUCUAGCCAUGGGCAGGUUGAAGGUUGGGUAACACUAACUGGAGGACCGAACCGACUAAUGUUGAAAAAUUAGCGGAUGACUUGUGGCUGGGGGUGAAAGGCCAAUCAAACCGGGAGAUAGCUGGUUCUCCCCGAAAGCUAUUUAGGUAGCGCCUCGUGAAUUCAUCUCCGGGGGUAGAGCACUGUUUCGGCAAGGGGGUCAUCCCGACUUACCAACCCGAUGCAAACUGCGAAUACCGGAGAAUGUUAUCACGGGAGACACACGGCGGGUGCUAACGUCCGUCGUGAAGAGGGAAACAACCCAGACCGCCAGCUAAGGUCCCAAAGUCAUGGUUAAGUGGGAAACGAUGUGGGAAGGCCCAGACAGCCAGGAUGUUGGCUUAGAAGCAGCCAUCAUUUAAAGAAAGCGUAAUAGCUCACUGGUCGAGUCGGCCUGCGCGGAAGAUGUAACGGGGCUAAACCAUGCACCGAAGCUGCGGCAGCGACACUGUGUGUUGUUGGGUAGGGGAGCGUUCUGUAAGCCUGUGAAGGUGUGCUGUGAGGCAUGCUGGAGGUAUCAGAAGUGCGAAUGCUGACAUAAGUAACGAUAAAGCGGGUGAAAAGCCCGCUCGCCGGAAGACCAAGGGUUCCUGUCCAACGUUAAUCGGGGCAGGGUGAGUCGACCCCUAAGGCGAGGCCGAAAGGCGUAGUCGAUGGGAAACAGGUUAAUAUUCCUGUACUUGGUGUUACUGCGAAGGGGGGACGGAGAAGGCUAUGUUGGCCGGGCGACGGUUGUCCCGGUUUAAGCGUGUAGGCUGGUUUUCCAGGCAAAUCCGGAAAAUCAAGGCUGAGGCGUGAUGACGAGGCACUACGGUGCUGAAGCAACAAAUGCCCUGCUUCCAGGAAAAGCCUCUAAGCAUCAGGUAACAUCAAAUCGUACCCCAAACCGACACAGGUGGUCAGGUAGAGAAUACCAAGGCGUUUGAGAGAACUCGGGUGAAGGAACUAGGCAAAAUGGUGCCGUAACUUCGGGAGAAGGCACGCUGAUAUGUAGGUGAAGUCCCUCGCGGAUGGAGCUGAAAUCAGUCGAAGAUACCAGCUGGCUGCAACUGUUUAUUAAAAACACAGCACUGUGCAAACACGAAAGUGGACGUAUACGGUGUGACGCCUGCCCGGUGCCGGAAGGUUAAUUGAUGGGGUCAGCGCAAGCGAAGCUCUUGAUCGAAGCCCCGGUAAACGGCGGCCGUAACUAUAACGGUCCUAAGGUAGCGAAAUUCCUUGUCGGGUAAGUUCCGACCUGCACGAAUGGCGUAAUGAUGGCCAGGCUGUCUCCACCCGAGACUCAGUGAAAUUGAACUCGCUGUGAAGAUGCAGUGUACCCGCGGCAAGACGGAAAGACCCCGUGAACCUUUACUAUAGCUUGACACUGAACAUUGAGCCUUGAUGUGUAGGAUAGGUGGGAGGCUUUGAAGUGUGGACGCCAGUCUGCAUGGAGCCGACCUUGAAAUACCACCCUUUAAUGUUUGAUGUUCUAACGUGGACCCGUGAUCCGGGUUGCGGACAGUGUCUGGUGGGUAGUUUGACUGGGGCGGUCUCCUCCUAAAGAGUAACGGAGGAGCACGAAGGUUGGCUAAUCCUGGUCGGACAUCAGGAGGUUAGUGCAAUGGCAUAAGCCAGCUUGACUGCGAGCGUGACGGCGCGAGCAGGUGCGAAAGCAGGUCAUAGUGAUCCGGUGGUUCUGAAUGGAAGGGCCAUCGCUCAACGGAUAAAAGGUACUCCGGGGAUAACAGGCUGAUACCGCCCAAGAGUUCAUAUCGACGGCGGUGUUUGGCACCUCGAUGUCGGCUCAUCACAUCCUGGGGCUGAAGUAGGUCCCAAGGGUAUGGCUGUUCGCCAUUUAAAGUGGUACGCGAGCUGGGUUUAGAACGUCGUGAGACAGUUCGGUCCCUAUCUGCCGUGGGCGCUGGAGAACUGAGGGGGGCUGCUCCUAGUACGAGAGGACCGGAGUGGACGCAUCACUGGUGUUCGGGUUGUCAUGCCAAUGGCACUGCCCGGUAGCUAAAUGCGGAAGAGAUAAGUGCUGAAAGCAUCUAAGCACGAAACUUGCCCCGAGAUGAGUUCUCCCUGACCCUUUAAGGGUCCUGAAGGAACGUUGAAGACGACGACGUUGAUAGGCCGGGUGUGUAAGCGCAGCGAUGCGUUGAGCUAACCGGUACUAAUGAACCGUGAGGCUUAACCUUACAACGCCGAAGGUGUUU